UAAUACAGAGGCCCCAAGCGUUACUGAGAAUCACUGGGUUUAAAGGGUGCGUAGGUGGCGCGUUAAGUCCGUUGUGAAAGCCCUGGGCUCAACCCAGGAACUGCUUCGGAUACUGGCGCGCUUGAGGCUAGUAGGGGUCACUGGAACUGACGGUGGAGCGGUGAAAUGCGUAGAUAUCGUCAGGAACGCCAAUGGUGAAGACAGGUGACUGGGCUAGUUCUGACACUGAGGCACGAAAGCGUGGGGAGCGAACGGGAUUAGAUACCCCGGUAGUCCACGCCCUAAACGAUGCAGACUAGACUGCAGCGGGUUACACCCCGUUGCGGUCGGAGCGAAAUUGUUAAGUCUGCCACCUGGGAAGUACGGUCGCAAGGCUA
Molecule: ribosomal RNA, 377 nt
Filed under: uncultured bacterium
Lineage: Bacteria
Description: bacterial SSU rRNA
Rfam family: Bacterial small subunit ribosomal RNA
Source: RNAcentral